AGCAACGACGCGGACGCAUCUGUCUGGAGGUGGAGUGUUUUCGAAAAACGAUCGCAGCCCACAUGCUUCGUCGACUUCGUCGAGCAUGGCGUACCGCACCAGCGCAAAGGCAUAGUGUGCCGCUCACGUUGGGCUCGACGCGCUGGGUCGGUGGCUCAGCCGCAGUAGCUGAAGAAGUGAGCGCGCAGGAGUACGCGGACCGGCGCAGGCGGUUCCUGGAGUGCCUCCCAGAUAAUUCGAUUGUUCUUCUUCCCGCCGCCGAUGAAUCGCUAUACAGCCACGAUAUCCUGUGGCCGCAUCGUCAAGACUCCUUGUGGUACCACCUGUUUGGCAUGCGCGUCCCGAUGCGGCGUCAGCUCGCCCCGCCUUCGUCGGCGAUCACCGAGGAUGUACGGAUCACCAUCGCGGCCUUUGCCAAGGGCAUGAAGGGCAUCCCCACGCAAACCCUCCUCUGUGUGCCGCCCGUCACGACAGACACAGCGACGCUGGUGUGGGGAUCUGAGGCGGUGCCGCUCAGUCAGUACAAACGUCUUCUCUGCGCGGAUGCUGAUGGUGGUAUGCUAUCGCCUUGCACGCACGAGAACGUGGUCACGACGAACGAAGUGGGCACCGUCUGCGCGGCGGUUCGCCGGCUUAUCACAGACAUGGCACAGCAGCAGGUAAAGGAAUGGGCAGAGCACAGCGGCGUCGAGCUAUCAACGUUGUCGGGAGGAGGAGGAGGAGGAGAAGGGGUGCAGGCAGGGAGGCUUCUUGCGCUGGGCGUCCUGCCGAGAGUGUUCGCGGCGUAUCCGCAACAGCUACGCUGGGAUGGAAGAGGCUACCGCCUUCGCCAGCCAGCGGCAUCGAUGCGGCUCGCAAAAGCGCGGGAUGUAGCCGACAGCACCUCUGUCUUUCGCCAUCCACUUGAGGCUUUCUUCUCCACGUUGAGCGCGAUGCCCUUUGUGGUGCACCUGCCACGUCCACUCCCUCUUGCAACCGCAGCAGCACCAGGGCAGCAGCCGACCUGCAGCGUAGUCGCCUUCCGCUACUCGGCAGUUGCGGGUCACACCCCUGGUCUUGUGCCCAGCACCGCCAAUGCGCUACCUAAGCGAGGCCGCGUGCCCUGCCCCCUACGAGGACGUGAUUCUCCGGCUGCCGUCGCCACCGCAUCCGCAAGCGCUGACAGCGAGCCGGAUGCCACGAUGCAGCUCUGCCUGCCCGUUCGUCGCAGUGAUGCAUACGCGUGGCUGUACCGGCAGUUCAAAGGCCCAUCACAGCUACGGCAGCACCUUCGCAGUGCCCGCGCAACAGAGGAUGCUUUUCUGCAGCUCAUGUACCGCGCCCCCGCGACACUGUCGGAGCACGCGCUGCACUGUGCGUUUCAGCGUGCCGUGUGCGACAUUAGCGCGCACGCCGGGCCAGCUGCCCAGGUACGAUGCGCGUACAUCCCCGUCGUGGCAAGCGGCGUGCGCGGCAGCGAAAUCCACUUCACCGACAACGACGGUGUGGCCGCACCGGGUGACGUUGUGCGCGUGGACGCCGGUGUGGAGGUGGACGGCGUCCCCACGGACUGCGCGCGGACACUGCCGAUAGGCAGUUCACGCUUUCCCUCCUCGUACGUGCCGCUGUACGAGGGAUUGCUCCAGAUUCAGCGCAAGCUGCUCCGGUGCAUGAAGCCUGGGGCUUCGGUCCGUGACAUGGCUCGGAUGCACAUCGACGAAACGCGGGCGUUGCUUUGCUUGCUUGGGGUCGAUGUGCGUCGUGCAGCAUCCUCGUCAGCCACGCCAAGCCCGUGCCCCCACGUGUCGGCUACUGCAACCUCGUCGCCGGAGCAGCAGGUACCGCUUGCCCUGGUGCGCUCCUGCUUCUGUGCUCACUUGUUCGGCCAUUUCUUUGGCCUCGACAUCCAUGAGGAGCUAAGUAGCGUUUCGCGGCCACUCCCAACGGCAGCGGCAAAGGAAGAGGUCGCGCAGCGGCAGCGGCCGACUCCGCGCAUCCUGCAAGGGGGCAUGAUGCACACUGUUGAGCCUGGCGUCUACGUGCCGAGCGCACAAAGAGCGGCCCUCUUCGGCCUCGAGAGGGCGCACUUACCGAUCGCGUUUCACGGUGGCGUUGGCGUGCAAAUCGAAGACGACGUUCUCGUCUUGCCUUCCCCCGAUGGCGAGGACGUCGAUGUAUGCAAGGGUGGAGAGCCUCUGGUGCGCUGUCCGUGGAGCCGUGGGGACUACCUCCAGCACGCCCUCGCUGCCUUUCAUCGCUACCACGGCAGCGGAGACGCAGGGUUGAUGCCCUCCCUGCUAGUGUCUGUGUGCGGCGCGCAUGUGCCCACAGUAUGGGGGGGAUGCAUGACUGCCGCUACGCAAAAUGUGUUGCGCUUCCUGUUUGCCCAGCGCGUGGCUAUGGAAGGGUUACCAAAGGCGAAGGCUUCCGUGGAAACGGACGUGUGCGCCAUACAGCAGCAGACAUUUGUUCCGAAUCCAGCGUACUCAAACGGGCCACCAGUGCCACACGCAGCAGUCUCGGACUGGUACCCGUACUCGAGCAUCGUCUUGACAGCCACUAUCCCGAAGGACAUUGCGCUUAUAGAAGCUGUCAUGCGGCAGUGAAGGCGUGCCGCUUACAUGGGCAGCACACAUCACGUUAGCCCCUCACCAUC
This 2635-nucleotide unclassified non-coding RNA is filed under the name Leishmania donovani. RNAcentral describes it as "gene:LdHU3.36.7700(CDS-product:aminopeptidase_P1_ putative)". The record is from RNAcentral. Lineage: Eukaryota; Euglenozoa; Kinetoplastea; Trypanosomatida; Trypanosomatidae.